RNAcentral lists this long non-coding RNA (264 nucleotides) under Citrus x clementina. RNAcentral's name for it is "Citrus clementina (C. clementina) long non-coding RNA (CCLE_LNC006845)". Lineage: Eukaryota; Viridiplantae; Streptophyta; Magnoliopsida; Sapindales; Rutaceae. The record is from RNAcentral.
CAGCUCUGCAUUGUUCUUUCCUCUCGUCCAUCAUUAUUUGCGUGGACCGACACUCGUUACUGCAAAACGCCUUCUCCCCUCUGUAAUAUAUCAAAUAACACGAGAUUCAUCAUCAAAAUUUUGUGCAACCAAACAAAUUAACGACAAAAUUUUGUGCAACCAAACAAAUUAACGACCACACUCAGCUUUUUAUUUCGAAAAGAGAAAACCAAUUCAAUUACCUGUACAUGUAUAUAUCUCUGCCGUGCAGCUUUUUCUGGCACA